CAGAGGUCCCGAGCGUUGUUCGGAUUCACUGGGCGUAAAGGGUGCGUAGGUGGUGAGGUAAGUCGGAUGUGAAAGCUCCAAGCUCAACUUGGAAAUGGCAUUGGAAACUACCUUGCUAGAGGGUUUGAGGGGGGACUGGAAUACUUGGUGUAGCAGUGAAAUGCGUAGAUAUCAAGUGGAACACCAGUGGCGAAGGCGAGUCCCUGGAAAACUCCUGACACUGAGGCACGAAAGCUAGGGGAGCAAACAGGAUUAGAUACCCUGGUAGUCCUAGCCGUAAACGGUGCGUAUUUGCUGUAAAAGGAAUCGACCCCUUUUGUGGCGUAGCCAACGCGUUAAAUACGCCGCCUGGGAAGUACGGUCGCAAGAUUA
This 372-nucleotide ribosomal RNA is filed under the name uncultured organism. RNAcentral describes it as "bacterial SSU rRNA". It matches the Rfam family "Bacterial small subunit ribosomal RNA", at positions 526 to 896 of the family's 1533-position model. The record is from RNAcentral.